RNAcentral lists this unclassified non-coding RNA (354 nucleotides) under soil metagenome. RNAcentral's name for it is "partial contains 5.8S ribosomal RNA, internal transcribed spacer 2, and large subunit ribosomal RNA". The stretch from base 1 to 120 matches the Rfam family "5.8S ribosomal RNA", at positions 35 to 154 of the family's 154-position model. The record is from RNAcentral.
GAUGAAGAACGUAGCGAAAUGCGAUAAGUAGUGUGAAUUGCAGAAUUCAGUGAAUCAUCGAAUCUUUGAACGCACAUUGCGCCCCUUGGUAUCCCGAGGGGCAUGCCUGUUCGAGCGUCAUUUCUGCCCUCCAGCCCGGCUGGGUGUUGGGCGCUGUCCCCCCGGGGACACGCCCCAAAGGCAGUGGCGGCGCCGCGUCGGGUCCUCGAGCGUAUGGGGCUUUGUCACCCGCUCGGGACGGACUCGUCGGCGCUGGUCUUCCUCCAGGCGACCCUUCGGGGCUCGUCUUCCUUCGGUUGACCUCGGAUCAGGUAGGGUUACCCGCUGAACUUAAGCAUAUCAAUAAGCGGAGGA